CAGCUCGUAUCGUGAGAUGUUGGGUUAAGUCCCGCAACGAGCACAACCCCUGUGAUCUGUUGCCACCGGCGCAAGCCGAGCACUCUGAUCAGACUGCCCUGUGAAACGGGGAGGAAGGUGGGGACGACGUCAAGUCAGUAUGGCCCUUACGGCCAGGGCUGCACACGUACUACAAUGCCCAGGACAGAAAGAACCGAAACCGCGAGGUGGAGGAAAUCAUUAAACCUGGGCCCAGUUCGGAUUGAAGGCUGCAACUCGCCUUCAUGAAGUUGGAAUCGCUAGUAAUGCCGUAUCAGCUACGACGGCGUGAUACGUUCCCGGGCCUUGUACACACCGCCCGUCACAUCAUGGAAGUCGUUUGUACC
RNAcentral lists this ribosomal RNA (365 nucleotides) under uncultured Verrucomicrobium sp. Its description in RNAcentral is "bacterial SSU rRNA". It matches the Rfam family "Bacterial small subunit ribosomal RNA", at positions 1056 to 1421 of the family's 1533-position model. The record is from RNAcentral. Lineage: Bacteria; Pseudomonadati; Verrucomicrobiota; Verrucomicrobiia; Verrucomicrobiales; Verrucomicrobiaceae.